CCUACGGGAGGCAGCAGUGGGGAAUUUUGGACAAUGGGCGCAAGCCUGAUCCAGCAAUGCCGCGUGAGUGAAGAAGGCCUUCGGGUUGUAAAGCUCUUUUGUCAGGGAAGAAACGGUGGAGGUUAAUACCUUCUGCUAAUGACGGUACCUGAAGAAUAAGCACCGGCUAACUACGUGCCAGCAGCCGCGGUAAUACGUAGGGUGCAAGCGUUAAUCGGAAUUACUGGGCGUAAAGCGUGCGCAGGCGGUUGUGCAAGACAGAUGUGAAAUCCCCGGGCUCAACCUGGGAAUUGCAUUUGUGACUGUACGGCUAGAGUGUGUCAGAGGGGGGUAGAAUUCCACGUGUAGCAGUGAAAUGCGUAGAGAUGUGGAGGAAUACCGAUGGCGAAGGCAGCCCCCUGGGAUAACACUGACGCUCAUGCACGAAAGCGUGGGGAGCAAACAGGAUUAGAUACCCUGGUAGUCCACGACCUAACGACUNUCUACUAGUUGUCGGUCGUU
RNAcentral lists this ribosomal RNA (501 nucleotides) under uncultured bacterium. RNAcentral's name for it is "bacterial SSU rRNA". It matches the Rfam family "Bacterial small subunit ribosomal RNA", at positions 338 to 831 of the family's 1533-position model. The record is from RNAcentral.